GACGUAGGGGGCGAGCGUUGUCCGGAUUUAUUGGGCGUAAAGCGUGCGUAGGCGGCUGCGCAAGUCGGGUGUGAAACCCCGGGGCUCAACCCCGGAACUGCAUCCGAUACUGCGUGGCUAGAGGUAGGUAGGGGAGAUCGGAAUUCCCGGUGUAGCGGUGGAAUGCGUAGAGAUCGGGAAGAACAUCAGUGGCGAAGGCGGCCUGCUGGGCUGUUGCUGACGCUGAGGCGCGACAGCGUGGGGAGCAAACAGG
Molecule: ribosomal RNA, 253 nt
Filed under: uncultured bacterium
Lineage: Bacteria
Description: partial 16S ribosomal RNA
Rfam family: Bacterial small subunit ribosomal RNA
Source: RNAcentral